AGAGUUUGAUCAUGGCUCAGGACUAACGUUGGCGGCGUGCGUAAUACAUGCAAGUCGAACGGGGUGGGGGCAACUCCACUCAGUGGCGAACGGGUGAGUAACACGUGGAUGAUCUACCCUUCAGAUCGGGACAACCAGCCGAAAGGUUGGCUAAUACCGGGUAUGACCACGGUCAGUAUCGUCUGGCUGAGGUAAGAGCAGGGGACCGCAAGGCCUUGCGCUGAAGGAUGAGUCCGCGGCUGAUUAGCUAGUUGGCGGGGUAACGGCCCACCAAGGCGACGAUCAGUAGCCGGCCUGAGAGGGUGACCGGCCACACUGGGACUGAGACACGGCCCAGACUCCUACGGGAGGCAGCAGUAGGGAAUUUUCCACAAUGGGCGAAAGCCUGAUGGAGCAACGCCGCGUGGGGGAUGAAGCAUUUCGGUGUGUAAACCCCUUUGGAGCGGGAAGAACGCCAUCCGGGUGAACAAUCCGGGUGGGUGACGGUACCGCUAGAACAAGACACGGCUAACUUCGUGCCAGCAGCCGCGGUAAUACGAAGGUGUCGAACGUUGUCCGGAAUUAUUGGGCGUAAAGGGCGCGUAGGCGGCCAGGUAAGUGAGAUGUGAAAGCUCUGGGCUCAACCCAGGAAUUGCAUUUCAUACUGCUUGGCUAGAGUUCGGUAGAGGAGGGCGGAAUUCCUGGUGUAGCGGUGAAAUGCGUAGAUAUCAGGAGGAACACCCGUGGCGAAGGCGGCUCUCUGGUCCGAUACUGACGCUGAGGCGCGAAAGGUAGGGGAGCAAACAGGAUUAGAUACCCCGGUAGUCC
This 807-nucleotide ribosomal RNA is filed under the name uncultured bacterium. RNAcentral's name for it is "bacterial SSU rRNA". It matches the Rfam family "Bacterial small subunit ribosomal RNA", at positions 8 to 796 of the family's 1533-position model. The record is from RNAcentral.